AUUUAGAGGAAGGAGAAGUCGUAACAAGGUUUCCGUAGGUGAACCUGCGGAAGGAUCAUUGUCGAAACCUGCGAAGCAGAACGACCCGCGAACAAGUGAGAACCAUCACGGGCGGAAGGCCUACGGGCCGGUCGCUCGCAGCCCGGGAGUAGUAGGGAUGUGGUAAGCCACAGCCAACACGCCUCGGGCACAAAAACGAACCCCGGCGCAGAUCGCGCCAAGGAACCAAAGAAAGAUGUGCGCUCCCCUCGUCCCGGAAACGGUGCUGCGGGGGGAUGCGUCGUCGUUGAUAUCACAUAACAAACGACUCUCGGCAACGGAUAUCUCGGCUCUCGCAUCGAUGAAGAACGUAGCGAAAUGCGACACUUGGUGUGAAUUGCAGAAUCCCGCGAAUCAUCGAGUUUUUGAACGCAAGUUGCGCCCGAAGUCGUCAGGCCGAGGGCACGCCUGCCUGGGUGUCACGCAACGUCGCCAUCCCACACCCCACUCCCCUUCGGGGACGGUGUGGGAUGGCGGAUAUUGGCCUCCCGUGCGCUCCCGCUCGCGGUUGGCCCAAAACACAGCCCCUUGGCGAAGGCAGCCACGGCACGCGGUGGUCGAAAGCGCUAGCUCCUCGGAAACCGCCGUGGCGAGCCCCGUCCACGUGGAGCCAAAGACCCCGACGCGAGCGUCCUCACAAAGCGACCCCAGGUCAGGCGGGAACACCCGCUGAGUUUAAGCAUAUCAA
Molecule: unclassified non-coding RNA, 727 nt
Filed under: Euonymus laxiflorus
Lineage: Eukaryota; Viridiplantae; Streptophyta; Magnoliopsida; Celastrales; Celastraceae
Description: partial contains small subunit ribosomal RNA, internal transcribed spacer 1, 5.8S ribosomal RNA, internal transcribed spacer 2, and large subunit ribosomal RNA
Rfam family: 5.8S ribosomal RNA (bases 306-461)
Source: RNAcentral